CGCUGGCGGCGUGCUUAACACAUGCAAGUCGAGCGGUAAGGCCCCUUCGGGGGUACACGAGCGGCGAACGGGUGAGUAACACGUGAGUAACCUGCCCCAUUCUUCGGAAUAACCAGUGGAAACGCUGGCUAAUGCCGAAUAUGACCAUCGAAGGCAUCUUCUGGUGGUGGAAAGCUCCGGCGGAGUGGGAUGGACUCGCGGCCUAUCAGCUUGUUGGUGAGGUAACGGCUCACCAAGGCGACGACGGGUAGCCGGCCUGAGAGGGUGACCGGCCACACUGGGACUGAGACACGGCCCAGACUCCUACGGGAGGCAGCAGUGGGGAAUAUUGGACAAUGGGCGAAAGCCUGAUCCAGCAACGCCGCGUGAGGGAUGACGGCCUUCGGGUUGUAAACCUCUUUCAGCAGGGACGAAGCGAAAGUGACGGUACCUGCAGAAGAAGGACCGGCCAACUACGUGCCAGCAGCCGCGGUAAUACGUAGGGUCCGAGCGUUGUCCGGAAUUAUUGGGCGUAAAGGGCUCGUAGGCGGUUUGUCGCGUCGGGAGUGAAAACUCAGGGCUCAACCCUGAGCGUGCUUACGAUACGGGCAAACUAGAGGUAUGCAGGGGAGAACGGAAUUCCUGGUGUAGCGGUGGAAUGCGCAGAUAUCAGGAGGAACACCGGUGGCGAAGGCGGUUCUCUGGGCAUUACCUGACGCUGAGGAGCGAAAGCAUGGGGAGCGAACAGGAUUAGAUACCCUGGUAGUCCAUGCCGUAAACGUUGGGCGCUAGGUGUGGGGACCUUCCACGGUCUCCGUGCCGCAGCUAACGCAUUAAGCGCCCCGCCUGGGGAGUACGGCCGCAAGGCUAAAACUCAAAGGAAUUGACGGGGGCCCGCACAAGCGGCGGAGCAUGCUGAUUAAUUCGAUGCAACGCGAAGAACCUUACCUGGGUUUGACAUAUGCCGGAAACGCCUAGAGA
Molecule: ribosomal RNA, 960 nt
Filed under: Aeromicrobium tamlense
Lineage: Bacteria; Bacillati; Actinomycetota; Actinomycetes; Propionibacteriales; Nocardioidaceae
Description: bacterial SSU rRNA
Rfam family: Bacterial small subunit ribosomal RNA
Source: RNAcentral